GACGAACGCUGGCGGCGUGCUUAACACAUGCAAGUCGAGCGGAAAGGCCACUUCGGUGGUACUCGAGCGGCGAACGGGUGAGUAACACGUGAGUAAUCUGCCCCUGGCUUUGGGAUAGCCACCGGAAACGGUGAUUAAUACCGGAUACGACCACUUCUCGCAUGGGAUGGUGGUGGAAAGUUUUUUCGGCCAGGGAUGUGCUCGCGGCCUAUCAGCUUGAUGGUGAGGUAAUGGCUCACCAUGGCUUCGACGGGUAGCCGGCCUGAGAGGGUGACCGGUCACACUGGGACUGAGACACGGCCGAGACUCCUACGGGAGGCAGCAGUGGGGAAUAUUGGACAAUGGGUGGAAGCCUGAUCCAGCAACGCCGCGUGAGGGAUGACGGCCUUCGGGUUGUAAACCUCUUUCAGCAGGGACGAAGCGCAAGUGACGGUACCUGCAGAAGAAGCACCGGCCAACUACGUGCCAGCAGCCGCGGUAA
Molecule: ribosomal RNA, 481 nt
Filed under: uncultured bacterium
Lineage: Bacteria
Description: partial 16S ribosomal RNA
Rfam family: Bacterial small subunit ribosomal RNA
Source: RNAcentral